GUUCUCACUUCAGCAGCACAUAUACUAAAAUUGGAACAAUAUAGAGAAGAUUAGAUGGCCCCUGCGCAAGGAUGACACACAGAAAUUAGACCCGGCAGGCUUGG
This is a small nuclear RNA of Suncus etruscus (white-toothed pygmy shrew), 104 nucleotides long. The record is from RefSeq and is a predicted model, not a curated record. NCBI's taxonomy places the organism in Eukaryota, Metazoa, Chordata, Mammalia, Eulipotyphla, Soricidae.